RNAcentral lists this ribosomal RNA (449 nucleotides) under uncultured bacterium. Its description in RNAcentral is "partial 16S ribosomal RNA". It matches the Rfam family "Bacterial small subunit ribosomal RNA", at positions 29 to 523 of the family's 1533-position model. The record is from RNAcentral.
AACGAACGCUGGCGGCAGGCCUAACACAUGCAAGUCGAACGCUGUAGCAAUACAGAGUGGCAGACGGGUGAGUAACACGUGGGAAUCUUCCUAUCGGUACGGAAUAGCUCAGGGAAACUUGGGGUAAUACCGCAUACGCCCUUCGGGGGAAAGAUUUAUCGCCGAUAGAUGAGCCCGCGUCUGAUUAGCUAGUUGGUGAGGUAAUGGCUCACCAAGGCGACGAUCAGUAGCUGGUCUGAGAGGAUGACCAGCCACACUGGGACUGAGACACGGCCCAGACUCCUACGGGAGGCAGCAGUGGGGAAUAUUGGACAAUGGGGGCAACCCUGAUCCAGCCAUGCCGCGUGAGUGACGAAGGUCUUCGGAUUGUAAAGCUCUUUUGGCGGGGACGAUAAUGACGGUACCCGCAGAAUAAGCCCCGGCUAACUUCGUGCCAGCCGCCGCCGUAA